RNAcentral lists this ribosomal RNA (816 nucleotides) under Triticum aestivum (bread wheat). RNAcentral's name for it is "partial small subunit ribosomal RNA". Lineage: Eukaryota; Viridiplantae; Streptophyta; Magnoliopsida; Poales; Poaceae. The record is from RNAcentral.
AUGCGGAUCCGCAGGGCCGCCUCCCUCCUGCUCGGCGUCACCCCCUCCGCCUCCUCCUCCUCCCAGCCGCCCCGACCCAAUCUGCCCCCGCUCCCAUCAGCCGACGCCGGCGGCCCGCCGCCCUGCGUGACGAACAUGGCGGUAGCGGACCUGAUGGACCAACUCGGCAUCCAAGAUCCCGAGGAUGACAAGCACUUCAAGGAGACUUACUUCGGGGAUGGCCUUCCUAGCCUUCCCAGACACCACCCCUGGGGAUCUAGGUGCCCUUUCCCAGCCACCACCUGUGCCGACUCCACUGAGGAAAAUGAGGAGAUGGCCGUUGACAUGCUCGAUUACAUCAUCUUGGAACCAGGUAUCGUGGAGAAGAACUCUGAGAAAAACAAGAGCACCACAACGAAGGGCGAGGAAGAGAAAAACAAGACCAAGUUGAAGACAAAGGGGAAGGGGAAGGAGAAGGUGGAGGCAGAUGAGAGUGAUGAUGCCGGAGGAGGGUGGCCGUGCAAGAAGAACGAGAGCGAAAGGUGGUUCUGCGGGCGGCCUGCGAGCCAGCCCAACUCGUACUGCUCGCACCACUCUGAUCAAAAGCCUCGUACCAUCUCGAAGCCACCUCAGAGGAAGAGGGUCAUCGCCAACCAGGGCUUGGACCUAGGGUUCUGCUACUACGGCGGGUUCGGCCUAUCACGCAGCACCAAGAGGCACCACGGACCAAGCAGUGUGCAAGAACCUGUUGAACAUAAAGAGCAUACACCACUAGAUCACAUUGAUUUAAAUGCAGGUCUAGCAGGAGCUGAUGACAUAGAUCAUCAAGUCGCGUAG